Molecule: ribosomal RNA, 388 nt
Filed under: Malassezia restricta
Lineage: Eukaryota; Fungi; Basidiomycota; Malasseziomycetes; Malasseziales; Malasseziaceae
Description: partial small subunit ribosomal RNA
Rfam family: Eukaryotic small subunit ribosomal RNA
Source: RNAcentral
GCUUGUCUCAAAGAUUAAGCCAUGCAUGUCUAAGUGUAAAUACGUCUACACUGUGAAACUGCGAAUGGCUCAUUAAAUCAGUUAUCGUUUAUUUGAUGAUCUCUUGUUACAUGGAUAACCGUAGUAAUUCUAGAGCUAAUACAUGCGUCAAGCCCCGACUUCGGAAGGGGUGUAUUUAUUAGAUAAAAAUCAACUUUGUUGGUGAAUCAUAAUAACUUCUCGGACCGCAUGGCCUCGUGCUGGCGGUGCUUCAUUCAAAUAUCUGCCCUAUCAACUGUCGAUGGUAGGAUAGAGGCCUACCAUGGUUGCAACGGGUAACGGGGAAUAAGGGUUCGAUUCCGGAGAGGGAGCCUGAGAAACGGCUACCACAUCCAAGGAAGGCAGCAGG